RNAcentral lists this ribosomal RNA (1446 nucleotides) under uncultured organism. Its description in RNAcentral is "SSU rRNA". It matches the Rfam family "Bacterial small subunit ribosomal RNA". The record is from RNAcentral.
CUCAGGAUGAACGCUAGCUACAGGCUUAACACAUGCAAGUCGAGGGGCAGCAUUUUAGUUUGCUUGCAAACUGAAGAUGGCGACCGGCGCACGGGUGAGUAACACGUAUCCAACCUGCCGAUAACUCCGGAAUAGCCUUUCGAAAGAAAGAUUAAUACCGGAUAGCAUACGAAUAUCGCAUGAUAUUUUUAUUAAAGAAUUUCGGUUAUCGAUGGGGAUGCGUUCCAUUAGUUUGUUGGCGGGGUAACGGCCCACCAAGACAACGAUGGAUAGGGGUUCUGAGAGGAAGGUCCCCCACAUUGGAACUGAGACACGGUCCAAACUCCUACGGGAGGCAGCAGUGAGGAAUAUUGGUCAAUGGGCGAGAGCCUGAACCAGCCAAGUAGCGUGAAGGAUGAAGGCUCUAUGGGUCGUAAACUUCUUUUAUAUGGGAAUAAAGUUUUCCACGUGUGGAAUUUUGUAUGUACCAUAUGAAUAAGGAUCGGCUAACUCCGUGCCAGCAGCCGCGGUAAUACGGAGGAUCCGAGCGUUAUCCGGAUUUAUUGGGUUUAAAGGGAGCGUAGGUGGAUUGUUAAGUCAGUUGUGAAAGUUUGCGGCUCAACCGUAAAAUUGCAGUUGAAACUGGCAGUCUUGAGUACAGUAGAGGUGGGCGGAAUUCGUGGUGUAGCGGUGAAAUGCUUAGAUAUCACGAAGAACUCCGAUUGCGAAGGCAGCUCACUAGACUGUCACUGACACUGAUGCUCGAAAGUGUGGGUAUCAAACAGGAUUAGAUACCCUGGUAGUCCACACAGUAAACGAUGAAUACUCGCUGUUUGCGAUAUACAGUAAGCGGCCAAGCGAAAGCAUUAAGUAUUCCACCUGGGGAGUACGCCGGCAACGGUGAAACUCAAAGGAAUUGACGGGGGCCCGCACAAGCGGAGGAACAUGUGGUUUAAUUCGAUGAUACGCGAGGAACCUUACCCGGGCUUAAAUUGCAACAGAAUAUAUUGGAAACAGUAUAGCCGUAAGGCUGUUGUGAAGGUGCUGCAUGGUUGUCGUCAGCUCGUGCCGUGAGGUGUCGGCUUAAGUGCCAUAACGAGCGCAACCCUUAUCUUUAGUUACUAACAGGUGAUGCUGAGGACUCUAGAGAGACUGCCGUCGUAAGAUGUGAGGAAGGUGGGGAUGACGUCAAAUCAGCACGGCCCUUACGUCCGGGGCUACACACGUGUUACAAUGGGGGGUACAGAAGGCGGCUACCUGGUGACAGGAUGCUAAUCCCAAAAACCUCUCUCAGUUCGGAUCGAAGUCUGCAACCCGACUUCGUGAAGCUGGAUUCGCUAGUAAUCGCGCAUCAGCCAUGGCGCGGUGAAUACGUUCCCGGGCCUUGUACACACCGCCCGUCAAGCCAUGAAAGCCGGGGGUACCUGAAGUACGUAACCGCAAGGAGCGUCCUAGGGUAAAACUGGU